This 118-nucleotide ribosomal RNA is filed under the name Pteropus alecto (black flying fox). Lineage: Eukaryota; Metazoa; Chordata; Mammalia; Chiroptera; Pteropodidae. The record is from RNAcentral.
GUCUACGGCCAUGCCACCAUGAACAUGCCCAAUCUCGUCUGAUCUCAGAAGCUAAGCAGGACGGGCUUGGUUAGUACUUGGAUGGAAGAAUAACUAGGAAUACCAGGUGCUGUAGGCA